This 115-nucleotide ribosomal RNA is filed under the name Candidatus Pacearchaeota archaeon. Lineage: Archaea; Nanobdellati. The record is from RNAcentral.
GAAGACGGCCAUAGUAAUUAGGUCACACCUGUUCCCUUUCCGAACACAGAAGUUAAGCUAAUUACGUCUGCUGUUUUAGUCUCCGACAAGAGGCGAAGCAAGGAUGCUGUCUUCG